Long non-coding RNA from Chelonia mydas (Green sea turtle), 551 nucleotides. RefSeq lists it as uncharacterized. Lineage: Eukaryota; Metazoa; Chordata; Testudines; Cheloniidae. The record is from RefSeq and is a predicted model, not a curated record. The transcript is spliced from 3 exons.
AAAAGGGCUCACUCCAGUCAGGCUGAGGAGAGGAAGUGAAGCUGAAAGACUGGGUAAUGAAGACAUCCUCAAGCCACUGGAAAGGGAGCCUUAAGGAGUUUAUCCUCGAAGAGGCAGCAAAGAGGAGGAGAUCUAGACCAGCAUAAGAGAUCUCAAUGAAAACAGAGGGCCCUCAUAGAGGAUAAACAGAUUUCCCACAAGUCUCAAUUCUCUGACUGUUCAAGAGAUUAGCAGCAUUCUCUUAAGAGUGAGAGGGGCCUCUUGAACUUCUUGGGAACAGUCAAAAUCAGAAAUCAGCAACAUGCCAAACCCCAACCGACCAGCCCAAGAGAAUUUAGAUCCAGAUGAAAAACUGGAUUCUGGCCUUGAGACAGGAGGUCCAGAGUACAGGUAAUGGAUUAGGUUUCAAUGCAAGGAAUGGAAGUAAGAAGCAACCCGCCCAAGAAGAACUUAUUAGCCUGAAUACGAUUUUGUCACAGUAAAAUUAUAUAUAAUUCACAGCACAAGCACAGUUAAAAAAAAAAAAGACAAUUUCACGCUAUGAUGAUGGC